Suricata suricatta (meerkat) is the source of this 422-nucleotide long non-coding RNA. RefSeq lists it as uncharacterized. The transcript has 3 exons. The record is from RefSeq and is a predicted model, not a curated record. NCBI's taxonomy places the organism in Eukaryota, Metazoa, Chordata, Mammalia, Carnivora, Herpestidae.
AACUGAGCCGCCCAGGUGCCCCAGAAUUUUAUUUGAUAAAUCUAUCUGCUAAACUUCUAAGACCGUGCAUCGCAGCUGGAAUGCCCCACAUCUGGGUGGCCCUCCGUGACCCCCUGCCUGAAGCAGCUGCCACUUCAUUGACUCCCCAUUACGGUACUUCCCUGAGGACAACAUUGUCCUGGGAGCAUUUCCUAAAGGGAACAGAGAAUCUUGGAGAGUCCUGGUGAGUGGAAGAGAGGAAGGAAGCUGGCACUGUGCUUUCAUGCCCUACAAUGGCUCCUCCCAACUCAUCAACUGACCAUUACUGAGCUCCCAUCUCUGGACUUCAAGACCUUUGGAAAAUGUUCAUAAACAUGUUCAGAAUCCCCUGGUGUGAGUAAAACAUUUUUAUAAGAUUGUAAAAUAAAGAAAACUGGCACACA